GCAGAGCUACAGGAAGAACUUUGGCUUUUGGAACACUAGAACCAUGUCAGGAUAACAUACUCCCUUGGAUUAUCAUCGGACUCGCAAGACCAGACUCCAACACGGGCUGAAAAUUUGAAAUGGGACCUGACACUCUUGGACACAGAUGUCGGCUACGGCAGCGGCUUCAAAUACGCUUUGGUGACCAUAUUUCUAAUCGAGAGUUGUGCGAACGAGCCAGACAAACCAGCUGGGAGGAGGACGGAAGCACCCCUUCUCCAUCCGCGUUCAGUUGCUAAAUACGGAUCCACCCCGUAGUCAACAGCCGACAGAGUCCUUCCACAACCACAUACUUAUGCCAAUAAAAGCCACAUCUUUUCUCCUCCAAUCCAAGAAGCCUGGACUGCAGUCACCAUCUCAACACACCAACCAAGAGAAAGGCGGAUGGCUCAAUUCAAUAUGGAAAAUUGCACAAUAAAAGUUCCAGGACAAGAAGGCUGCAUACUGUGAACGUCAACCUUCAGGGCACCGUCCUGCGCAGAAGACUUUCUACCCUAAGAGGGAUGGCUGACCGCAGACACUCACAACCAGCACAGACGCCUCCAACCUCAAACUAGGCCCUUCACAGUUGCUGCACUUACCCACCUUCCCAGAGUUUUUGUGUGGUAAUGACAACUGUAAAUAUAGUAUAAAGUAAUGUAUCUAGUGUCAUGUGUAAUACAUUGUUUAAAUUGU
This is a long non-coding RNA of Engraulis encrasicolus (European anchovy), 714 nucleotides long. RefSeq lists it as uncharacterized. The transcript is spliced from 5 exons. NCBI's taxonomy places the organism in Eukaryota, Metazoa, Chordata, Actinopteri, Clupeiformes, Engraulidae. The record is from RefSeq and is a predicted model, not a curated record.